CCUACGGGAGGCAGCAGUGAGGAAUAUUGGUCAAUGGACUUACGCCUGAACCAGCCAAGUCGCGUGCAGGAAGACUGCCCUAUGGGUUGUAAACCUCUUUUGUCAGGGAGCAAUUGGCGCUACGUGUAGCGUUAUCGAGAGUAACUGAAGAAAAAGCAUCGGCUAACUCCGUGCCAGCAGCCGCGGUAAUACGGAGGGUGCGAGCGUUAAUCGGAAUUACUGGGGGUAAAGGGUGUGCAGGCGGCUGAGUAAGACAGAUGUGAAAUCCCCGGGCUUAACCUGGGAAUCGCAUAUGGGACUGCAUGGCUAGAGUGCGUCAGAGGGAGGCGGAAUUCCUGGUGUAGCAGUGAAAUGCGUAGAUAUGUGGAAGAACACCGAUGGCGAAGGCAGGUUCCUGGGACGCAACUGACGCUGAUACACGAAAGCGUGGGGAUCAAACAGGAUUAGAUACCCCGGUAGUC
This 461-nucleotide ribosomal RNA is filed under the name uncultured bacterium. RNAcentral describes it as "partial 16S ribosomal RNA". It matches the Rfam family "Bacterial small subunit ribosomal RNA", at positions 338 to 795 of the family's 1533-position model. The record is from RNAcentral.